AUGCAGCACCGGAACAAUAGGGGGGACGUGGCCAACUGUGUGGAUUGCUACGUCAGUGAGCAUAAGGUUACAGACAAGGUCGCCUUUGCUGCAAUCGACUCGAUGAUAGAAGAUGAAUGGAAGACCACCAACCAAGCUCGGUUUGAGCAUCGCCGUGAGCUCUUCCCGGUGGUGCAACGGGUUGUCAACUUCACUCUCAGCCUGCCGGUGUACUAUGGUGAUAGGAAAGAUGCCUUCACAUUUAGCACGCAUCUUAACGGCAUUAUCAAGAACCUCUUCGUCAAGCCCAUACCGAUCUAG
This 300-nucleotide ribosomal RNA is filed under the name Triticum aestivum (bread wheat). RNAcentral describes it as "partial small subunit ribosomal RNA". Lineage: Eukaryota; Viridiplantae; Streptophyta; Magnoliopsida; Poales; Poaceae. The record is from RNAcentral.